Molecule: long non-coding RNA, 524 nt
Organism: Xiphophorus couchianus (Monterrey platyfish)
Lineage: Eukaryota; Metazoa; Chordata; Actinopteri; Cyprinodontiformes; Poeciliidae
Exons: 4
Source: RefSeq, a predicted model, not a curated record
ACGAAAGAGACCUCUAGUAGAACCUAACAAAGUGUCUGUGUCUAUUUGCCAUAAACAACUAGGAUUUGGAAAAGACACCUCCGCCCCAGAGCAGAACCUUCGGUGAAUGCAGAUAUUAAAGUCUGAGUUUAAGAUGGCAUCACAUAGCAGUCCAAUGAAAGAUGCAUUGCAUCAUGUUAUUUUGAGAAUGGACAAAAUAUCAAAACUUGAGGUGAAGUACAUUAAUGCAGUAAAAGGACGUGGGGUCUUUGCAAAAAGUUCAAUUUACAAAGGACAGUUUGUAGUUGAGUAUCAUGGAGAAAGUAUCACUGAAGAAGAAUAUGAGAGGAGAAGGAGACUGUACCACCCUGCUUGUGCUGCCUUUAUGUUUGCAUUUAAGUGGCAAGGCAAAACAUGGUGAGAAGAUGGGUCACUCGGUAGGCUCAUAAAUGAUGACCACAUAUAACCAAACUGCAAAAUGAAAAAAAAAUUAACGUGAAUGGAAACCCCCACCUUUGUUUCUUUGCCCUUAAUGAUAUUAAAAA